GCCCCUAUAGCUCAGUGGAUAGAGCACUGCCCUCCGGAGGCAGGAGCCUGCGUUCGAAUCGCAGUAGGGGCA
RNAcentral lists this transfer RNA (72 nucleotides) under Anaerolineales bacterium. RNAcentral describes it as "tRNA-Arg". It matches the Rfam family "tRNA". Rfam says of the family: Transfer RNA (tRNA) molecules are approximately 80 nucleotides in length. Their secondary structure includes four short double-helical elements and three loops (D, anti-codon, and T loops). The record is from RNAcentral. Lineage: Bacteria; Bacillati; Chloroflexota; Anaerolineae; Anaerolineales.